Molecule: long non-coding RNA, 745 nt
Filed under: Vigna radiata
Lineage: Eukaryota; Viridiplantae; Streptophyta; Magnoliopsida; Fabales; Fabaceae
Description: long non-coding RNA (VRAD_LNC010907)
Source: RNAcentral
CUGCCAUGUUGAUGUAUUACAAGUUGGAGGGGAAGGAGGAUUAUGCAAAUCAAAUCCCAGCUUAUGCGGUGAUGUUUUUACACCAGAAACAUGAGUUGAUGAGGUAACUAAGCAAUUGGUAGAAAUAUUUAUAUCAAAGUGUCUCCAAGUCUGUCCAGAAGAUGUAUUACAAGCUGGAGGGGAAGGAGGAUUAUGCAAAUCAAAGCCCAGCUUAUGUGGUGAUGUUUUUGUACCAGAAACAUGAGCUGGUGUGUUAACCAAGCAAUCAGAAGAACUAUUUACAGUAGGGUGACUCCAGGUCUGUCCAGAUGAUGUAUUACAUGCAGGAGGGGAGGGAGGAUUAUGCAAAUCAAAUCCUAGCUUAUGUGGUGAUGUUUUUGUACCAGAGGCAUGAGCUGACGUGGUAACCAAGCAAUUGGAAGGGCUAUUAACAUGAGGGGGUCUCCAGGUCUGUCCAGAUGAUGUAUUACAUGCUGGAGGGGAAGGAGAAUUAUGUAAAUCAAAUCCCAGCUUAUGUGGUGAUGUUUUUUUAUCCGAUACAUGAGCUGACGUGGCAACCAGGCAAUCCGAAGAGCUAUUAACAUUAGGGUGUCUCCAGGUCUGUCCAGAAGAUUGCCCUGCAUUCUCUUCACUAUCUGAUGGCUUCUGAUAACUUUGCCCACUAUUACUCUGCCCAUCCACUGUUCUGUUUGAGCCAUUAUUUCCAUUAUCUUGAGAGUUUCCCACAAUCCCAUGAUCUUUCCUU